GCCGGUUUAGCUCAGUUGGUAGAGCAACGCAUUCGUAAUGCGUGGGUCGGGGGUUCAAAUCCCUUAACCGGCACCA
RNAcentral lists this transfer RNA (76 nucleotides) under Alphaproteobacteria bacterium. RNAcentral's name for it is "tRNA-Thr". It matches the Rfam family "tRNA". Rfam says of the family: Transfer RNA (tRNA) molecules are approximately 80 nucleotides in length. Their secondary structure includes four short double-helical elements and three loops (D, anti-codon, and T loops). RNAcentral also lists the same sequence under 1 other name. Lineage: Bacteria; Pseudomonadati; Pseudomonadota; Alphaproteobacteria. The record is from RNAcentral.